GACGAACGCUGGCGGCGUGCUUAACACAUGCAAGUCGAGCGGUAAGGCCUUUCGGGGUACACGAGCGGCGAACGGGUGCGUGACACGUGGGUGAUCUGCCCUGCACUCUGGGAUAAGCCUGGGAAACUGGGUCUAAUACUGGAGAUGCCCUCAGCAUGCAUGUGCUGGGGUGGAAAGCUUUUGUGGUGCAGGAUGGGCCCGCGGCCUAUCAGCUUGUUGGUGGGGUAAUGGCCUACCAAGGCGACGACGGGUAGCCGACCUGAGAGGGUGACCGGCCACACUGGGACUGAGACACGGCCCAGACUCCUACGGGAGGCAGCAGUGGGGAAUAUUGCACAAUGGGCGGAAGCCUGAUGCAGCGACGCCGCGUGAGGGAUGAAGGCCUUCGGGUUGUAAACCUCUUUCAGCAGGGACGAAGCGUGAGUGACGGUACCUGCAGAAGAAGCACCGGCUAACUACGUGCCAGCAGCCGCGGUAA
This 478-nucleotide ribosomal RNA is filed under the name uncultured bacterium. RNAcentral's name for it is "partial 16S ribosomal RNA". It matches the Rfam family "Bacterial small subunit ribosomal RNA", at positions 28 to 523 of the family's 1533-position model. The record is from RNAcentral.